CGGGGAAUAUUGCACAAUGGGCGCAAGCCUGAUGCAGCCAUGCCGCGUGUGUGAAGAAGGCCUUCGGGUUGUAAAGCACUUUCAGCGAGGAGGAAGGUGGGUGAGCUUAAUACGCUCAUCAAUUGACGUUACUCGCAGAAGAAGCACCGGCUAACUCCGUGCCAGCAGCCGCGGUAAUACGGAGGGUGCAAGCGUUAAUCGGAAUUACUGGGCGUAAAGCGCACGCAGGCGGUUUGUUAAGUCAGAUGUGAAAUCCCCGGGCUCAACCUGGGAACUGCAUUUGAAAACUGGCAAGCUAGAGUCUCGUAGAGGGGGGUAGAAUUCCAGGUGUAGCGGUGAAAUGCGUAGAGAUCUGGAGGAAUACCGGUGGCGAAGGCGGCCCCCUGGACGAAGACUGACGCUCAGGUGCGAAAAGCGUGGGGAGCAAAACAGGAUUAGAUACCCUGGUAGUCCACGCUGUAAAACGAUGUCGAUUUUGGAGGUUGUGCCCUUGAGGCGUGGCUUCCGGAGCUAACGCGUUAAAUCGACCGCCUGGGGAGUACGGCCGCAAGGUUAAAACUCAAAUGAAUUGACGGGGUCAUAGCUGUUUCCU
RNAcentral lists this ribosomal RNA (592 nucleotides) under uncultured bacterium. Its description in RNAcentral is "partial 16S ribosomal RNA". It matches the Rfam family "Bacterial small subunit ribosomal RNA", at positions 355 to 1375 of the family's 1533-position model. The record is from RNAcentral.